This 202-nucleotide long non-coding RNA is filed under the name Parus major (Great Tit). Its description in RNAcentral is "lncRNA (ENSPMJG00000003317.1)". Lineage: Eukaryota; Metazoa; Chordata; Aves; Passeriformes; Paridae. The record is from RNAcentral.
CAAACCUCAGCUGCUUGGCAGCAUGACAGCAGCGGUGAGGGCCAUCAGGCUGCUCAGUCUUUCCCUGAGAGUCCAGCUCAGCAAAUUAGACCUGUCCUGCACUGACUUGAUAAACCUGAUGUGCUUCUGGACAAAGUUACCUCUCAUCUGUGAGCAAGUGAUUUGCUUAUUUCUCCCACAGAUGAAGACAAAGUUGAAGUGA